This 2839-nucleotide ribosomal RNA is filed under the name Aegilops tauschii. RNAcentral describes it as "eukaryotic LSU rRNA". The stretch from base 397 to 2284 matches the Rfam family "Eukaryotic large subunit ribosomal RNA", at positions 24 to 1888 of the family's 3401-position model. The record is from RNAcentral. Lineage: Eukaryota; Viridiplantae; Streptophyta; Magnoliopsida; Poales; Poaceae.
ACUCUCGCAACGGAUAUCUCGGCUCUCGCAUCGAUGAAGAACGUAGCGAAAUGCGAUACCUGGUGUGAAUUGCAGAAUCCCGCGAACCAUCGAGUCUUUGAACGCAAGUUGCGCCCGAGGCCACUGGCCGAGGGCACCGCUGCCUGGCCGUCACGCCAAAAACACGCUCCCAACCACCCUCAUCGGGAAUCGGGACGGCAUCUGGUCCCUCGUCUCGCAAGGGGCGGUGGACGAGAAGAUCGGGCUGCCGGUGUACCGCGCCGGACACAGCGCAUGGUGGGCGUCCUCGCUUUAUCAACGCAGUGCAUCCGACGCGCAGCCGACAUAUAUGGCCUCAGAACGACCCAGCAAACGAAGGCACGUUGCUUCGACCGCGACCCAGGUCAGGCGGGACUACCCGCUGAGUUUAAGCAUAUAAAUAAGCGGAGGAGAAGAAACUUACAAGGAUUCCCUAGUAACGGCGAGCGAACCGGGAGCAGCCCAGCUUGAGAAUCGGGCGGCUGUGCCUCCGAAUUGUAGUCUGGAGAGGCGUCCUCAGCGACGGACCGGGCCCAAGCCCCUGGAAAGGGCGGCCUGGGAGGGUGAGAGCCCGCGUCCGGCCGGCGACCUGUCGCCCCACGAGGCGCCGCACAGAGUCGGGUUUUUUUGGGAAUGCAGCCCAAAUCGGGCGUAGACUCCGUCCAAGGCUAAAUACAGGCGAGAGACCGAUAGCGAACAAGUACCGCGAGGGAAAGAUGAAAAGGACUUUGAAAAGAGAGUCAAAGAGUGCUUGAAAUUGCCGGAGGGAAGCGGAUGGGGGCCGGCGAUGCGCCGGGCCGUAUGCGGAACGGCUCUUGCUGCCGGCUCGGCUCGGGGUGUGGACUGUUGUCGCCGCCGGCGGCCAAGCCGGGGCGCCUUAGGUGCCCCCGGUGGCCGUCGUCGCACGGCCGGUACCCGCGCGCGAAAGGCGUGUCCCUCGGGGCACUGCGCUGCAACGGCCUGCGGGCUCCCAUCCGACCGUCUUGAAACACGGACCAAGGAGUCUGACAUGCGUGCGAGUCGACGGGUUCUGAAACCUGGGAUGCGCAAGGAAGCUGACGAGCGGAGGCCCUCACGGGCCGCACCGCUGGCCGACCCUGAUCUUCUGUGAAGGGUUCGAGUUGGAGCACGCCUGUCGGCGACCGAAAGAUGGUGAACUAUGCCUGAGCGGGGCGAAGCCAGAGGAAACUCUGGUGGAGGCUCGAAGCGAUACUGACGUGCAAAUCGUUCGUCUGACUUGGGUAUAGGGGCGAAAGACUAAUCGAACCAUCUAGUAGCUGGUUCCUCCGAAGUUUCCCUCAGGAUAGCUGGAGCCCAUUACGAGUUCUAUCAGGUAAAGCCAAUGAUUAGAGGCAUUGGGAGCAACGUCCUCGACCUAUUCUCAAACUUUAAAUAGGUAGGAUGGGCGGCUGCUUCGGUGAGCCGUGCCCCGGAAUCGGGUGCUCCAAGUGGGCCAUUUUUGGUAAGCAAGAACUGGCGAUGCGGGAUGAACCGGAAGCCGGGUUACGGUGCCCAACUGCGCGCUAACAAAAACCCACAAAGGGUGUUGGUCGAUUAAGACAGCAGGACGGUGGUCAUGGAAGUCGAAAUCCGCUAAGGAGUGUGUAACAACUCACCUGCCGAAUCAACUAGCCCCGAAAAUGGAUGGCGCUGAAGCGCGCGACCCACACCCGGCCAUCUGGGCGAGCGCCAUGCCCGAUGAGUAGGAGGGCGCGGCGGCCGCUGCAAAACCCGGGGCGGAGCCCGGGGAGCGGCCGUCGGUGCAGAUCUUGGUGGUAGUAGCAAAUAUUCAAAUGAGAACUUUGAAGGCCGAAGAGGAGAAAGGUUCCAUGUGAACGGCACCACAUGGGUAAGCCGAUCCUAAGGGACGGGGUAACCCGGCAGAUAGGCGCGAUCACGCGCAUCCCCCGAAAGGGAAUCGGGUUAAGAUUUCCCGAGCCGGGAUGUGGCGGUUGACGGCGACGUUAGGAAGUCCGGAGAGCCCGGCGGGGGCCUCGGAAGAGUUAUCUUUUCUGCUUAACGGCCUGCCAAGCUAAUGGAAAACAUGGCAAAACCACAUACGAGGCUCACACACGUACACGGACCCGUGAACGGGCUGGACGUGGACACGGGAAAAAACUGGCCGACGCCCGUCAUGGACGGAACCGGACGCGCGCCAUGGAAAACAGGGCAAAACCACGUACGAGGCACACGCACGUACACGAAAAGGUGAACGGGUACGAGAGGUCCGGGAGAAAAAAGGCCCAUACGCCAUGGAAACCGGGUCGAAAGUAGCUAAUGAUGGUCAGGAAACGGUGCCAUGGCAGCGAAAACAUGUCUCAUGGCAGAAAAAUGCUGCCACGGCAGCGUUUCAAAACAGUGUACCCCUCCUUAACAAACUGAAGGGUAGGGUCCCAAUGAGGGCUAAAACCCUCGGGUAUAGUAGGGAGGAGGGGUCCUUCCUGGUGGGCAUACAGAACACGGGCGGUUUUUCUUAGGAAAAACAACCAUGUUCUCGUACGCCCAUCCUUUCCCAAUGUUUCCUCGGAUGUCCCAUCGUUAUGCCAUCACGAAGGUGCUGGCCCGGUCCCGUGUACUACUCGUGAGAAAUCCUGACCCUACAGCCGAAUGUGGCUCGGGAAAUAGGAAAGUACCCCGUUACCUACACGAUCCGACCGCCGGUAAACAGUCGCAACGGUGUCCCUCGAAUGUCGCCUCCGGAAAACCGUUGCCCCUCGGGGGCAACGUCAUCGCUGUCCUAGUCCCCUGUACGUCUCAAGUAAAAUUCAGACCCAACAGCCAAAUGCAGCUCGGGAAAGAGGAAAGUAGCCCGUUUCAUGCA